CGGCGAGGGGAGUGAAAAAGAACCUGAAACCGUGUACGUACAAGCAGUGGGAGCACGCUUAGGCGUGUGACUGCGUACCUUUUGUAUAAUGGGUCAGCGACUUAUAUUCUGUAGCAAGGUUAACCGAAUAGGGGAGCCGAAGGGAAACCGAGUCUUAACUGGGCGUUAAGUUGCAGGGUAUAGACCCGAAACCCGGUGAUCUAGCCAUGGGCAGGUUGAAGGUUGGGUAACACUAACUGGAGGACCGAACCGACUAAUGUUGAAAAAUUAGCGGAUGACUUGUGGCUGGGGGUGAAAGGCCAAUCAAACCGGGAGAUAGCUGGUUCUCCCCGAAAGCUAUUUAGGUAGCGCCUCGUGAAUUCAUCUCCGGGGGUAGAGCACUGUUUCGGCAAGGGGGUCAUCCCGACUUACCAACCCGAUGCAAACUGCGAAUACCGGAGAAUGUUAUCACGGGAGACACACGGCGGGUGCUAACGUCCGUCGUGAAGAGGGAAACAACCCAGACCGCCAGCUAAGGUCCCAAAGUCAUGGUUAAGUGGGAAACGAUGUGGGAAGGCCCAGACAGCCAGGAUGUUGGCUUAGAAGCAGCCAUCAUUUAAAGAAAGCGUAAUAGCUCACUGGUCGAGUCGGCCUGCGCGGAAGAUGUAACGGGGCUAAACCAUG
Molecule: ribosomal RNA, 663 nt
Filed under: Escherichia coli
Lineage: Bacteria; Pseudomonadati; Pseudomonadota; Gammaproteobacteria; Enterobacterales; Enterobacteriaceae
Description: partial 23S ribosomal RNA
Rfam family: Bacterial large subunit ribosomal RNA
Source: RNAcentral